This is a non-coding RNA of Podarcis lilfordi (Lilford's wall lizard), 84 nucleotides long. The record is from the annotation of a GenBank genome assembly. Lineage: Eukaryota; Metazoa; Chordata; Lepidosauria; Squamata; Lacertidae.
GCAUGGGUAGCUCAGUUGGGUAGAGCAUGGUGCUGGUAACGCCAAGGUCACAGGUUCGAUCCCUGUAUGGGAUAGCUGCAUGUU